UACGUAGGGUGCGAGCGUUGUCCGGAAUUAUUGGGCGUAAAGAGCUCGUAGGCGGUCUGUCGCGUCUGCUGUGAAAACUCGGGGCUUAACCCCGGGCCUGCAGUGGGUACGGGCAGACUAGAGUGCGGUAGGGGAGACUGGAAUUCCUGGUGUAGCGGUGAAAUGCGCAGAUAUCGGGAAGAACACCCGUGGCGAAGGCGGCUCUCUGGGACGGUACUGACGCUGAGACGCGAAAGCGUGGGGAGCGAACAGG
This 253-nucleotide ribosomal RNA is filed under the name uncultured bacterium. RNAcentral's name for it is "partial 16S ribosomal RNA". It matches the Rfam family "Bacterial small subunit ribosomal RNA", at positions 524 to 776 of the family's 1533-position model. The record is from RNAcentral.